Molecule: transfer RNA, 72 nt
Filed under: Elusimicrobiota bacterium
Lineage: Bacteria; Pseudomonadati; Elusimicrobiota
Also listed under: 1 other name
Description: Elusimicrobia bacterium (hot springs metagenome) tRNA-Phe
Rfam family: tRNA
About the family: Transfer RNA (tRNA) molecules are approximately 80 nucleotides in length. Their secondary structure includes four short double-helical elements and three loops (D, anti-codon, and T loops). Further hydrogen bonds mediate the characteristic L-shaped molecular structure. tRNAs have two regions of fundamental functional importance: the anti-codon, which is responsible for specific mRNA codon recognition, and the 3' end, to which the tRNAs corresponding amino acid is attached (by aminoacyl-tRNA synthetases). tRNAs cope with the degeneracy of the genetic code in two manners: having more than one tRNA (with a specific anti-codon) for a particular amino acid; and 'wobble' base-pairing, i.e. permitting non-standard base-pairing at the 3rd anti-codon position.
Source: RNAcentral
GCCGGGGUAGCUCAGUGGUAGAGCGUCGGUCUGAAAAACCGAGCGUCGGCAGUUCGAUUCUGUCCCCCGGCA